AGGGGUUUUGCCAAGCGGUAAGGCACAAGAUUUUGAUUCUUGUAAUCGGUGGUUCGAAUCCAUCAAUCCCUGCCA
This 75-nucleotide transfer RNA is filed under the name Caudoviricetes sp. RNAcentral's name for it is "tRNA-Gln". It matches the Rfam family "tRNA". Rfam says of the family: Transfer RNA (tRNA) molecules are approximately 80 nucleotides in length. Their secondary structure includes four short double-helical elements and three loops (D, anti-codon, and T loops). The record is from RNAcentral. Lineage: Duplodnaviria; Heunggongvirae; Uroviricota; Caudoviricetes.